UACAGAGGUCCCGAGCGUUGUUCGGAUUUAUUGGGCGUAAAGGGUGCGUAGGCGGCGGAGUAAGUUGGGUGUGAAAUCCCGAGGCUCAACCUCGGAAUGGCAUUCAAUACUGCUUCGCUUGAGUACUGGAGAGGAGGCUGGAAUUUACGGUGUAGCAGUGAAAUGCGUAGAUAUCGUAAGGAAGGCCGGUGGCGAAAGCGAGCCUCUGGACAGUUACUGACGCUGAUGCACGAAGGCCAGGGGAGCAAACGGG
RNAcentral lists this ribosomal RNA (253 nucleotides) under uncultured bacterium. Its description in RNAcentral is "partial 16S ribosomal RNA". It matches the Rfam family "Bacterial small subunit ribosomal RNA", at positions 524 to 776 of the family's 1533-position model. The record is from RNAcentral.